UACGCAGGGGGCUAGCGUUGCUCGGAAUCACUGGGCGUAAAGCGCACGUAGGCGGAUCUUUAAGUCAGGGGUGAAAUCCCAAGGCUCAACCUUGGAACUGCCUUUGAUACUGGGGAUCUCGAGUCCGGAAGAGGUGAGUGGAACUGCGAGUGUAGAGGUGAAAUUCGUAGAUAUUCGCAAGAACAUCAGUGGCGAAGGCGGCUCACUGGUCCGGUACUGACGCUGAGGUGCGAAAGCGUGGGGAGCAAACAGG
RNAcentral lists this ribosomal RNA (253 nucleotides) under uncultured bacterium. RNAcentral describes it as "partial 16S ribosomal RNA". It matches the Rfam family "Bacterial small subunit ribosomal RNA", at positions 524 to 776 of the family's 1533-position model. The record is from RNAcentral.